UAGGAUGGGCGUCCCUGUCCUGUCGGGGCCGUCAUGGCGGGUUUGCUGAAGAAGACCACCGGCCUUGUGGGAUUGGCUGUAUGUGAAAGUCCACACGAGAGGCUAAGAAUAUUCUGCACAAAGAUUCUUGAUGUUCUUGAGCAAAUUCCUAAAAACGCAGCAUAUAGAAAGUAUACAGAACAGAUUACAAAUGAGAAGCUGAGUAUGGUUAAAGUGGAACCAGAUGUUAAGAAAUUAGAAGACCAACUUCAGGGUGGCCAACUAGAAGAGGUGAUUCUUCAGGCUGAAAAUGAACUAAGUCUGGCCAGAAAAAUGUUACAGUGGAAACCAUGGGAGCCUUUAGUGGAAGAGCCUCCUGCCAACCAGUGGAAGUGGCCAAUAUAAUCAUCAUUGAAUGACUAGUGUGUUCAUGGGAAAUGGAUGUAAUUAAAUGUUCUGUUAUAUUAAAAAU
Non-coding RNA from Callorhinus ursinus (northern fur seal), 451 nucleotides. NCBI's taxonomy places the organism in Eukaryota, Metazoa, Chordata, Mammalia, Carnivora, Otariidae. The record is from RefSeq and is a predicted model, not a curated record.